RNAcentral lists this transfer RNA (69 nucleotides) under Gobiomorus maculatus (Pacific sleeper). Its description in RNAcentral is "tRNA-Arg". It matches the Rfam family "tRNA". From Rfam's summary of the family: Transfer RNA (tRNA) molecules are approximately 80 nucleotides in length. Their secondary structure includes four short double-helical elements and three loops (D, anti-codon, and T loops). The record is from RNAcentral. Lineage: Eukaryota; Metazoa; Chordata; Actinopteri; Gobiiformes; Eleotridae.
AGGUAACUGGUUUAAUAAAAAUGUUUGAUUUCGGCUCAAACGCUCGCGGUUAAAGUCCACGGUUCCCUG